RNA transcript from Colletes gigas, 1483 nucleotides. It is a transcript of the gene named immediate early response 3-interacting protein 1, with no coding region annotated. The record is from RefSeq and is a predicted model, not a curated record. The transcript is spliced from 7 exons. Lineage: Eukaryota; Metazoa; Arthropoda; Insecta; Hymenoptera; Colletidae.
CUCGAUACAGUUUUAGAAAUAAAGGAUCGGUUCUUUUCUGUAAAUUGCACUUGUGAUUCGCGCCGGUUUCUGCCAUAGUUGAUGAUUUGUAGACAGUUGUAAUUCCACAACAUGGCGUUCACGUUGUGGACAUUGUUCGAGGCAUCUCUGCUGUGUUUAAACGCUGUUUGCGUUUUGAACGAGGAUAGGUUUCUUGCCAAAGUUGGUUGGGCGUCUUGGCAAAAUGUUCAAGGUUUCGGCGAACCUUCUACAUGGAAGUCACAUAUGUUGAACUUGAUCAGGUCUAUAAGAACAGUAGCAAGAGUUCCGCUGAUGUUCUUGAAUAUUUUAAUAAUUAUUGUGAAACUGGUGCUUGGAUGAUUUGUGGUGUAAAUAAAAGAACAGUGAUCUGUGAAGAACCAAAACAUUUGAUAUUGUACAUAAGCAGAAUGUUCCGAAACGAGCACAACACCGCAUUAAGACCAUACUCUGUCUUCUUUCUUGUUUUUGUACAUAUUGUAUCGCUGUACUACUGAAUUCGCGAAAUCCUUGCAUGAUCGUCAACGUUCGUUGAAAUAAACAAGCGACUUAACAUGGCCCCUCAAGGAAAAGUCUAAUGGCGUCGCAAUAUCUCUAUGGCGCAUUUCUAAUAAUCUCAGACAAAUCAAAUUCCCGCCAAAGAAAAGAUGAAAUCAUCUAAAGGGGACAAGCUACACUUGCACGCUGUAGGACGGAAGCGCCGGUCACCAGUGGCCACCGUGGCAGUCGACGCGUUAAAGGAAGUUCCCAUGGUCGCGGCGAUCAUCUUUGAUAAAUCGGUUAUGCGCGGGAUUUCGUAAGCAACGAAAUCUAAAUACACGUCCUCUCACUGUCAGCGACGGUUUUCAUCCCUUGAAAGGCGGACAGCCUGGUUAGGCUGCGUUUCGACCAGAGAAUCAAGAGACCGACCACGGAGGCACAGUGAGGGUAAUUCAAGGGUACUUUCGACCAGCCAAAAUAAUUGAUAACGACUAUAGCGGUGUAUAUCAUUCGGUGGAAAGCGAAAGGCUGCCGAUAGAAAGUCUCAGCCAAAGGGAGCGAUUCGGGUACGGGGAUCCGCGGGUUCAGCGUACCCGCGAGAAAACGAAAAAGAACCAAAUCCGCUACGACCGUCGAAGCGUAGUUUAAGCUAAAGAGACGCCACCGUCGAAAGGGAAAGUGGCGGUUCGGGUUUCUCGUUAACGGGAAACUCGAAUAACGAACCGAAAAACAAAGGCGUCGAGCUAACUUCCGGUUAGAAAGAUCCGUUCGUAGGCACUUGCUUAACGACAUUGCUAUUAUUAUUAUUCGAAUAGUAGAUUGUACGAUACGAAACAAAGAUGUUUUUCGGAAAAUUUUGAAUACACUGAUAUGGUGCUUGGUCGAACUUAUCGAGGACACCGGCCACUGAAACGUCCCGCGCUAAUCUCACUUUGGAAAUUUUCUACACUUGUUCACCGAGACGCUCUCCUUUUCCCACACUCAC